UGGGGAAUCUUGCGCAAUGCGCGAAAGCGUGACGCAGCAACGCCGCGUGGGGGAAGAAGGCCUUCGGGUUGUAAACCCCUUUCAGUUGGGACGAAGCUUCAACGGUUAAUAGCCGUUCGGAGUGACGGUACCUUCACAAGAAGCCCCGGCUAACUACGUGCCAGCAGCCGCGGUAAUACGUAGGGGGCUAGCGUUGUCCGGAAUCAUUGGGCGUAAAGAGCGUGUAGGCGGCCCGGUAAGUCCGCUGUGAAAGUCGGGGGCUCAACCCUCGAAUGCCGGUGGAUACUGUCGGGCUAGAGUGCGGAAGAGGCGAGUGGAAUUCCUGGUGUAGCGGUGAAAUGCGCAGAUAUCAGGAGGAACACCGAUUGCGAAGGCAGCUCGCUGGGACGUAACUGACGCUGAGACGCGAAAGCGUGGGGAGCAAACAGG
This 429-nucleotide ribosomal RNA is filed under the name uncultured bacterium. Its description in RNAcentral is "bacterial SSU rRNA". It matches the Rfam family "Bacterial small subunit ribosomal RNA", at positions 355 to 776 of the family's 1533-position model. The record is from RNAcentral.